GCGUUUGAGUAUAAGGGCUCAUCGCUGGAAACCAUGUUUGCCGACAUAGGGAUUUGGUACCAGGCUAAGUGAUCUUGUGUACUUGACUUUAUGUCAUUCCCAAAUUGGGACUAUGGUUAGGAGCCCAGGCUAAGUGAUCUUGGGCACUACUAUACUUUAUUGGGUCGAGACACCCUACUGUGUGAUCAUGUGUGUCUUCC
RNAcentral lists this long non-coding RNA (200 nucleotides) under Capsicum annuum. Its description in RNAcentral is "long non-coding RNA (CANN_LNC014926)". The record is from RNAcentral. Lineage: Eukaryota; Viridiplantae; Streptophyta; Magnoliopsida; Solanales; Solanaceae.